AACUGGCUUGUGGUGGCCAAGUGUUCAUAGCAACGUCCAUUUUUGAUCCUUCAAAAUUAUCUCUUCCUGUCAUUGUGCAGCAGAAUUCACCAAAUGCUGGAUUGUUCACCCACUAAUAGAGAAUGUGAGCUGGAUUUAGACCAUUGUGAGACAGGUU
This is a non-coding RNA of Pelobates cultripes (western spadefoot toad), 157 nucleotides long. The record is from the annotation of a GenBank genome assembly. NCBI's taxonomy places the organism in Eukaryota, Metazoa, Chordata, Amphibia, Anura, Pelobatidae.